AGUGAAAUUGCUGGGUCAUAUAAUUACUCUGUUUAACUUUUUGAAGAACUGCCUGGCCAAAUUCCAAAGCCUCUUCAUUACUCUGCAUUCCCACCAGCAAU
Molecule: microRNA precursor, 101 nt
Filed under: Marmota monax (woodchuck)
Lineage: Eukaryota; Metazoa; Chordata; Mammalia; Rodentia; Sciuridae
Source: RNAcentral